This 501-nucleotide ribosomal RNA is filed under the name uncultured bacterium. RNAcentral describes it as "partial 16S ribosomal RNA". It matches the Rfam family "Bacterial small subunit ribosomal RNA", at positions 30 to 523 of the family's 1533-position model. The record is from RNAcentral.
AUUGAACGCUGGCGGCAGGCUUAACACAUGCAAGUCGAGCGGGGGAAGGUAGCUUGCUACCGGACCUAGCGGCGGACGGGUGAGUAAUGCUUAGGAAUCUGCCUAUUAGUGGGGGACAACAUCUCGAAAGGGAUGCUAAUACCGCAUACGUCCUACGGGAGAAAGCAGGGGAUCUUCGGACCUUGCGCUAAUAGAUGAGCCUAAGUCGGAUUAGCGAGGUGGUGGGGUAAAGGCCUACCAAGGCGACGAUCUGUAGCGGGUCUGAGAGGAUGAUCCGCCACACUGGGACUGGGACACGGCCCAGACUCCUACGGGAGGCAGCAGUGGGGAAUAUUGGACAAUGGGGGGAACCCUGAUCCAGCCAUGCCGCGUGUGUGAAGAAGGCCUUAUGGUUGUAAAGCACUUUAAGCGAGGAGGAGGCUACUCUAGUUAAUACCUAGGGAUAGUGGACGUUACUCGCAGAAUAAGCACCGGCUAACUCUGUGCCAGCCGCCGCAGUAA